RNAcentral lists this long non-coding RNA (631 nucleotides) under Carassius auratus (goldfish). RNAcentral describes it as "lncRNA (ENSCARG00000035348.1)". Lineage: Eukaryota; Metazoa; Chordata; Actinopteri; Cypriniformes; Cyprinidae. The record is from RNAcentral.
AAAAGCAACCAGUCCAUAGUGCGCUAGAUCUAUUAAUUGUGCUGUGUCUUUAAGCGCGGCGUGUAUAUAGGGGCGUGUCUAAUAUAAAAUGGGCGUGUCUGUUGACAUAAGGGGCGGGUUUGGGUGAAUUAUUGCACAGAGCGGUGAAUUUACAGCAGAGCUUGACACAGGAAGGAUGCGGGCGGCUGUCUGUGUGUAUUGUCACAACUGAAAGAUACAUGUGUUACCUUUAGAGAAUCAACAGAAAACAGCACGGGGAUAUUUUAGGCUCAAACAAACUAACAGAAAGGCUUUUUUAAUUGCACCCCGGGGAUAGGCUAAAACCACAAGCUGGAAAGUGCAUGGAUCACACCAUUAAACGCCCAGUAGCCUUUUGUGAGCAAAUGCAGAUGACACCUCAUGGAAGGAGGCGUAACGUGUGAAGGGAGGAAGAGAAGUUAUCGAGGGACCAUUGUGUGAAGAUUAUCUUAUCUCAGAUUACCUCCUGUUUGGCAACUGAAGUGACGGCCAUCAAGACUGGACUGAGUCGGGUUGAACAGAAUCUGGUUGAACCUUUUAGGACUCGUUAAAAGGAAACCCCCUUUUAGUGAAACCACACGACCAGAUAAAAAAAGAAUUGUAGAACUGGGUU